AGUGAACGCUGGCGGCAGGCCUAACACAUGCAAGUCGAACGGCAGCACGGCAGUAGCAAUACUGUGGGUGGCGAGUGGCGGACGGGUGAGGAAUACAUCGGGAUCUACCCUGUUGUGGGGGAUAACGUAGGGAAACUUACGCUAAUACCGCAUAAGAACUGAGGUUGAAAGCGGCGGACCGCAAGGCGUCGCGCGAUUGGAUGAACCGAUGUCCGAUUAGCUAGUUGGCGGGGUAAAGGCCCACCAAGGCGACGAUCGGUAGCUGGUCUGAGAGGACGACCAGCCACACUGGAACUGAGACACGGUCCAGACUCCUACGGGAGGCAGCAGUGGGGAAUAUUGGACAAUGGGCGCAAGCCUGAUCCAGCCAUGCCGCGUGGGUGAAGAAGGCCUCGGUUGUAA
RNAcentral lists this ribosomal RNA (402 nucleotides) under uncultured bacterium. Its description in RNAcentral is "bacterial SSU rRNA". It matches the Rfam family "Bacterial small subunit ribosomal RNA", at positions 30 to 428 of the family's 1533-position model. The record is from RNAcentral.